This 380-nucleotide ribosomal RNA is filed under the name uncultured eukaryote. RNAcentral's name for it is "partial 18S ribosomal RNA". It matches the Rfam family "Eukaryotic small subunit ribosomal RNA", at positions 592 to 976 of the family's 1831-position model. The record is from RNAcentral.
CAAUAGCGUAUAUUAAAGUUGUUGCAGUUAAAAAGCUCGUAGUUGGAUUUGUGGCGUACGGUGGGUUCCGGGCACUUGUUGUCUGAGUAACUUGCUGUUGCCAUCCUUGGGUGGAACCUGUGUGGCAUUAGGUUGUCGUGCAGGGGAUGCCCAUCAUUUACCGUGAAAAAAUUAGAGUGUUCAAAGCAGGCUUAUGCCGUUGAAUAUAUUAGCAUGGAAUAAUGAGAUAGGACUUUUUUGCUAUUUUGUUGGUUUGUGCAAAGAGGUAAUGAUUAAUAGGGACGGUUGGGGGUAUUCGUAUUCCAUUGUCAGAGGUGAAAUUCUUGGAUUUUUGGAAGACGAACUACUGCGAAAGCAUUUACCAAGGAUGUUUUCAUUAA